AUCCUAUAGGACGACUGAUCUAACCUGGUGUUAAGGGACCAUGGUGUCUACUGAGAUGUGCCCAUGCAGCAACUCUACUUUCAUUGCAACUGAGUCUGUUUCUGUGGGUGAAGCUGCUGUUACGGGUGUGUGAUGCUGUACCAAGGGCUCAUCUAAACGGAGUCAUUGAUUGAGACCAAGGUAAGUUACAAAUUGAAUGGAAGAGCUAUUCUCAGUUAACUUCAUCAUCCUAAUGAAGAGGCAAUUUGGAAUAGUUAAUAAGGAAUAGGUGCUCUGGAAUAAUCCCUUUUUAAGACAAACCCUCACUCUUUCUAUAAUUGCAUUCCAGGAAGCUAUUCUGUUCUGAAUCAGCAUGGGAUAGAGUGCCUAGAAGACGUUCAGACCAAGCACAGCUAGCGCGUCCCUGCUGGUUCUCCAUUCUGCAUCCGUGCAGCCACGUUCUAUUGAUGGCCUGUUGUGAUUUCAAUGGAACAUCAUGGGAUGUACCUGGCACGUCGGGCAGCACUGGAUGGAGGUGCCUUUAGCCCAAUGUACCUGGCAUGGUGGUAAAGUGAAGGU
This 558-nucleotide long non-coding RNA is filed under the name Ficedula albicollis (Collared flycatcher). RNAcentral describes it as "lncRNA (ENSFALG00000027456.1)". Lineage: Eukaryota; Metazoa; Chordata; Aves; Passeriformes; Muscicapidae. The record is from RNAcentral.